Molecule: ribosomal RNA, 468 nt
Filed under: uncultured bacterium
Lineage: Bacteria
Description: partial 16S ribosomal RNA
Rfam family: Bacterial small subunit ribosomal RNA
Source: RNAcentral
GAUGAACGCUGGCGGCGUGCCUAACACAUGCAAGUCGAGCGAUCUUCUUCGGAAGAGAGCGGCGGACGGGUGAGUAACGCGUGGGUAACCUGCCCUGUACACACGGAUAACAUACCGAAAGGUAUGCUAAUACGAGAUAAUAUGCUUUUGUCGCAUGGUAGAAGUAUCAAAGCUUUUGCGGUACAGGAUGGACCCGCGUCUGAUUAGCUAGUUGGUAAGGUAACGGCUUACCAAGGCUACGAUCAGUAGCCGACCUGAGAGGGUGAUCGGCCACAUUGGAGCUGGGACACGGUCCAAACUCCUACGGGAGGCAGCAGUGGGGAAUAUUGCACAAUGGGCGAAAGCCUGAUGCAGCAACGCCGCGUGAGCGAUGAAGGCCUUCGGGUCGUAAAGCUCUGUCCUCAAGGAAGAUAAUGACGGUACUUGAGGAGGAAGCCCCGGCUAACUACGUGCCAGCAGCCGCGGUAA